CUCCACCUCCAGUUUUCUCUCGACCUCUACCUGUGCAGUCAUCUCAACGAUCCAAGCACGCACAGCCACCACCACCUGUAACUUUACUGCCUCCUCCAGUAUUCUUGCCACCACCACGUGAAGUUACCUUCACCAACACCAGUCAACUCACUGUCCCCACCACCUGAAUUUAUCUAAAACCUCUUAGUUGGACAAGAGACCAAUCUGUUUAGGGAGAUAGUCGAAGUUUUCAUCAGCCCUAAUAGUGAAGCAAGCAUUAGCGACAACGUGGCGAGCAGUCGCUCGCUGUAGCAGCGACGGUCGACAAAUCAAGGCAUCGCUAGUUGAAGCAACGACUCCUUUGCGACCUAGUUUAAAACUCAUCGCACGUAGUGUUUGCACAGCACCAUCGCUGGGGGCACUACUUAUGUCGUGGUGGUGGUGGUGGCGGCGGCGAUCACUUGGUUUCGGUGGCAGGCAGGCGGGUGGUGGUGGGUAUAGUGUGAUGGCACAUGG
Molecule: long non-coding RNA, 495 nt
Filed under: Olea europaea subsp. europaea
Lineage: Eukaryota; Viridiplantae; Streptophyta; Magnoliopsida; Lamiales; Oleaceae
Source: RNAcentral